UACGAAGAAGGCGAGCGUUAUUCGGAAUUAUUGGGCGUAAAGGGCGCGUAGGCGGCCUACUAAGUCAGACGUGAAAUCCCCCGGCUUAACCUGGGAACUGCGUCCGAUACUGGAAGGCUUGAGUAUGGGAGAGGGAUGUAGAAUUCCAGGUGUAGCGGUGAAAUGCGUAGAUAUCUGGAGGAAUACCGGUGGCGAAGGCGGCAUCCUGGACCAUUACUGACGCUGAGGCGCGAAAGCUAGGGGAGCAAACGGG
This 253-nucleotide ribosomal RNA is filed under the name uncultured bacterium. RNAcentral describes it as "partial 16S ribosomal RNA". It matches the Rfam family "Bacterial small subunit ribosomal RNA", at positions 524 to 776 of the family's 1533-position model. The record is from RNAcentral.